Non-coding RNA from Leuconostoc citreum KM20, 169 nucleotides. Lineage: Bacteria; Bacillati; Bacillota; Bacilli; Lactobacillales; Lactobacillaceae. The record is from Rfam.
AGUUAUCAAAGAGGUUGCAACCAACAUGAUUAGCGCAAAUGAGUUCGCCAAGAACUGUGACUUUGCGUCAAAGGGGCGGUUGCCGAAAUAUCAUUUAAGGCAGAAUGAUAUUGGGCUAACAACUAAUACUUGUUAGACUGUCACAGUGAUGUGGUGUGCUUUGAAAAGU